RNAcentral lists this ribosomal RNA (253 nucleotides) under uncultured bacterium. RNAcentral describes it as "partial 16S ribosomal RNA". It matches the Rfam family "Bacterial small subunit ribosomal RNA", at positions 524 to 776 of the family's 1533-position model. The record is from RNAcentral.
UACGUAGGGUGCGAGCGUUGUCCGGAAUUAUUGGGCGUAAAGAGCUUGUAGGCGGUCUGUCGCGUCUGCUGUGAAAAUCCGGGGCUCAACCCCGGACUUGCAGUGGGUACGGGCAGACUAGAGUGUGGUAGGGGAGACUGGAAUUCCUGGUGUAGCGGUGAAAUGCGCAGAGAUCAGGAGGAACACCCGUAGCGAAGGCGGCACUCUGGGCCGAUACUGACACUGAGGAGCGAAAGCGUGGGGAGCGAACAGG